GGCGGGUUAGCUCAGUUGGUAGAGCAAACGGCUCAUAUCCGUUUUGUCAUAGGUCCGAGUCCUAUACCCGCUA
This 73-nucleotide transfer RNA is filed under the name Treponema sp. Its description in RNAcentral is "tRNA-Met". It matches the Rfam family "tRNA". Rfam says of the family: Transfer RNA (tRNA) molecules are approximately 80 nucleotides in length. Their secondary structure includes four short double-helical elements and three loops (D, anti-codon, and T loops). Further hydrogen bonds mediate the characteristic L-shaped molecular structure. tRNAs have two regions of fundamental functional importance: the anti-codon, which is responsible for specific mRNA codon recognition, and the 3' end, to which the tRNAs corresponding amino acid is attached (by aminoacyl-tRNA synthetases). tRNAs cope with the degeneracy of the genetic code in two manners: having more than one tRNA (with a specific anti-codon) for a particular amino acid; and 'wobble' base-pairing, i.e. permitting non-standard base-pairing at the 3rd anti-codon position. Lineage: Bacteria; Pseudomonadati; Spirochaetota; Spirochaetia; Treponematales; Treponemataceae. The record is from RNAcentral.